CUGAAAAUGGUCCAUAUAAUGGUCUGCCAUAGGAUAAAGGUAGCAUGGGCACUGCAGUUGGCACAGGGUGGAUUUCAACUCGUUAUGGCCAAAUCUGGUCAAAAACAGAAGUUAGGAAAAACCCAAUAGUGGAGGAGUUUCAACAUCUGGCCCUUGGACUAUGACUCACCCAGAAAGAAUUUAAUUAAAGUUGUCUGUGCAUGAAUAUGUGGUGGACACGCCUUGUGAUGCCUUCACUGGUGCAUACUUUCAGAGAUCAACAAAUAGCAACACAGCACGUCAGAGAAUGUGGGGAGUCUGUAAAAUAAAAAAUAAAAAACCCUUGUUUUUGUGUAACUUGUUCCUCUCCGAACUUAAAAAAUGACUGACUUAACGGACAUCAAUGAGAAUGUGGUUAGGGAUAUGUAUAACCCUGACGAAAAAAGAAGCAAAGCAACAAGAGAAAGGAAACUACGCAAUAACCCAAACAUUCUCUUCAAAAUAAUGAGAGUGACGAAGCUUCAUUUGUUGCUAUUUGAUCCGUCUGAUGCCGUGGAUGAAUGGGUAAAAGUCCUUACAGCAGGGAGUCCAACGCAUAACCUGUCUGUGCAGGUGACCACCAGAUACAAAGGAUCUACCCCAAGUGUCACAACUAUUUGUUUGUCAGGGCAAGCUAACAACCUGGAAACAUUCUGCCAGGAUUUUGCAAAUCUACGGAUGGAUGUGCUUGAAAGAACUCAGCACAAGAAGAAGAAGAAAGAACUGAAGAAUGAAGAAUGAAUUUAGUGUCACAAUACGGACCCCAGAGCGAGCUAGAGAUGCUGAAUGUUCCCACCAGCUGACUGCUGAAAAAGCUUUCCCCAUCAAGCCAAGCUCUACUGUGGAACGCAUUCAUUGAUGUCAACUUACUAUGCACAUCCUGCAAAUGUAUUCAGGUUAUUACUACUACCAGCAUAUUUAUACACAACUUAUCUAGCAUGUUGGUAUAUUUAGGGGUCCACACAAAUAAGCCGAUCCUUCAUCCAAACUGCUUGGACCCCUUUAGUUAAUCUUUCCUUUAAUCUAAUAUAAUCUAUCUUUCUUUUUUUUUUUUAACUGUGAGGCCCUUACACACAUAAUCUUUGUAUUUCAACAUCAACAAAAUAAAGUUAAAUCAUGA
This is a long non-coding RNA of Alosa sapidissima (American shad), 1138 nucleotides long. RefSeq lists it as uncharacterized. Lineage: Eukaryota; Metazoa; Chordata; Actinopteri; Clupeiformes; Clupeidae. The record is from RefSeq and is a predicted model, not a curated record. The transcript has 2 exons.